This 67-nucleotide transfer RNA is filed under the name Mengenilla moldrzyki. RNAcentral's name for it is "tRNA-Lys". The record is from RNAcentral. Lineage: Eukaryota; Metazoa; Arthropoda; Insecta; Strepsiptera; Mengenillidae.
CAUUAGAUGUCUGAUUUAAGUAAUGAUCUUUUAAAUCAUUUAAAGUAAAUUAAUUUACUUCUAAUGA